This is a transfer RNA of 73 nucleotides. It matches the Rfam family "tRNA". From Rfam's summary of the family: Transfer RNA (tRNA) molecules are approximately 80 nucleotides in length. Their secondary structure includes four short double-helical elements and three loops (D, anti-codon, and T loops). Further hydrogen bonds mediate the characteristic L-shaped molecular structure. tRNAs have two regions of fundamental functional importance: the anti-codon, which is responsible for specific mRNA codon recognition, and the 3' end, to which the tRNAs corresponding amino acid is attached (by aminoacyl-tRNA synthetases). tRNAs cope with the degeneracy of the genetic code in two manners: having more than one tRNA (with a specific anti-codon) for a particular amino acid; and 'wobble' base-pairing, i.e. permitting non-standard base-pairing at the 3rd anti-codon position. The record is from Rfam.
GGGCGUGUGGCGCAGUUGGUAGCGCGUUCGCUUCGCACGCGAAAGGCCUCCGGUUCGACUCCGGACUCGUCCA